Long non-coding RNA from Drosophila sulfurigaster albostrigata, 1351 nucleotides. RefSeq lists it as uncharacterized. The transcript has 3 exons. The record is from RefSeq and is a predicted model, not a curated record. Lineage: Eukaryota; Metazoa; Arthropoda; Insecta; Diptera; Drosophilidae.
GUUAAGCAACCGAGUGUUUUUCUUUAUGGUUUAUAAACUGCUGUGAAAUAAAUCUGAAACUCUAAUUGCCAAAUUGCCGAAAGGCUUCUGCUGAAAACUAUAAAUGAACAUAAUACAAGGAAGAAUUGAAAAAAAUAAAUAUUAAGUGUUGUACCAUUUAAUUUGUUUAUUAACUUUGCGUAACUAGAUGGUCAACUGAUAUGCGAUAUUUGUAAUCCUAAAUAUCAGACGGAACAUGUUGUUGUCUCUGAGAAAACUAGGCAAGGUGUGUUUAUUUUAGUCACUGGACUGGUUAUUUGAUAGGUGGAAAGCUGGUCAACAGGCGCCAAUUCAUUACAAACCCAAAGUAGUUAACGUUAUUUAUGAGUAUGUAGCGUUAAAUUGUCUGACGAUUUAUAUAAGAUACCGAACUGCUUGGUCGAGGAGCUGCUGCACGAAAUUUUCAUCAUCGCAUAUGUGUGAAGGAUUUAAUGGUGAGCAUGCAUAAGGGAAUUAAUUGCCACUUAAGGCGAACAUUAAGCAGCAGCAAAUUCAACUAACACGAGAAGGUGAUAAGAAGAUUUGCAUAAAAAUAAAGGAAACUCAAUUUCAAUCGUUUAAGUUUAUUACGUCUAUUAAAUGUGUCUGAAUUUCACUUUUGUGCAGUGCAGAGAAACAAUUGUCGAAAAAUAGUUUUUGGUUUUCCUUUCAACUCACAUUUGUGUUUUGUUAUUUUGAUAGGACUUCAAAGAUUUAUUAUUCAAUAAUUGAUAAUUAAAAGAAAACACUUAAUUUAAUUUUAAUUUCCUUUUGUAGAUCACAAAACGAAUGUUUCUUAUUACUCAUUAAUGAAGUGUUAAUUAAAUUCGAAAGUUAUAUUCUGACAUUUUUAGUGAAAUAUUUAUGAAGAGUCUCUUUCUUAAGCUUCGAGCUAACAAUUUUGAUUGGGAUUAUUUCAAUGCUGAGGCAAAAUCGAACUGGCGAGCUGAAGUUUAUACGUUGAUCCAUAUCUGGCUAAUGGCUAAGUGGAGAGGGGAGAGAGGAGGAUGGCUAAAGAGAAGCUAGGCCAGUACACGACACGACAGGACAGGACUGACUUGGCCGGAAAGAGUCUGCACAGCAGGCGGCUGGCCGGUUGGUUGGUUGGUUGGCUGACUGGCUGACUGGCUGGUUGGCUGACUAGCAGGCUGUGCACGUUGUUGGGGCAGGUGGAGCACAUGGCACAUUUGAGCUGAUGCUGCGUCAAAGGCAACAAAUUCAAGUGGCAACAUGUUUCGACAACAACAGCUACAACAAAGUGCACUAACAUAGAUGCCAGGGCCAGCGGCAAUGCGAAUGUUGUCGAACAACACCAGAGCAGCAACAACAACAA